Molecule: transfer RNA, 86 nt
Filed under: Akkermansiaceae bacterium
Lineage: Bacteria; Pseudomonadati; Verrucomicrobiota; Verrucomicrobiia; Verrucomicrobiales; Akkermansiaceae
Description: tRNA-Leu
Rfam family: tRNA
About the family: Transfer RNA (tRNA) molecules are approximately 80 nucleotides in length.
Source: RNAcentral
GCCGCCAUGGCGGAAUUGGUAGACGCGAUGGAUUUAAAAUCCAUUGGAUGGUAACGUCCGUGCCGGUUCGAUUCCGGCUGGCGGUA